GCGAGAACUUACCUGGGCUUGAACUGUAUGGACCGGUGCAGAGAUGUGCCUUUUCCAAGAACUGUUACAGAGGUGCUGCAUGGCUGUCGUCAGCUCGUGUCGUGAGAUGUUGGGUUAAGUCCCGCAACGAGCGCAACCCUUACCUUUAGUUGCCAGCGGGUCAUGCCGGGAACUCUAAAGGGACUGCCCGGGUUAACCGGGAGGAAGGCGGGGAUGAUGUCAAGUCCUCAUGGCCCUUAUGUCCAGGGCUACACACGUGCUACAAUGGGCGAUACAAACCGUUGCGAGAUCGCGAGAUGGAGCUAAUCGGAGAAAGUCGUCCUCAGUUCGGAUUGUAGUCUGCAACUCGACUGCAUGAAGGUGGAAUCGCUAGUAAUCGUGUAUCAAAAUGAUACGGUGAAUACGUUCCCGGGA
This 414-nucleotide ribosomal RNA is filed under the name uncultured bacterium. RNAcentral describes it as "bacterial SSU rRNA". It matches the Rfam family "Bacterial small subunit ribosomal RNA", at positions 963 to 1378 of the family's 1533-position model. The record is from RNAcentral.